GUCGCGACUCCUCCUUGCCCGGCCCGGCCACGCCGAGGCGCAUGAGUCUCGCUCCGGCGGCAACCUCCCGGUGCAUCCCGGUCUCGGGGACUCGAAGCUCUCUAGGGUCGACCCACUUCCGGUCGCGAUCGACUUCGCAUAUCGAUUUCGCGCCUAUUUCGAGUUUUAUCGCCCAGCGUCCUGUUUUAGUGAGCUCUGCCGCCGAAACAAAGUGUCGUUCAGCGUGAAAAAGACUGGUAAAGGGGUAUUUGUCGGCGAGAUGGAUAAGAUCGAGGCGGGGCGGAAGGUUUUAAUUGGCCGCGAGGAGUUGCUGUACUUUUGACGGCGUUCCGAAACAGUUGUUGUUCUGCAACGUACCGCGGCGGCUGCAAAGACAGGGACACCAUUUUAGAACGCGCCCUCGGCGGACUCAGCGGGGGGUGACUGACAAACAACGUCGCCACACGUUGAUGCAACGACUGCCCCCUUUGCACGCAUGAUGCAAAAGAGCAGUCAGUAACUGCACACCGCAAGGAGCUGCAUCGACUAUCGACCCUCGAUGUCCGGAACAUAGGAUGCUGGGCUGCCGCCAGCACUGCUUCACCACGGCGCCGGGCGUCGGCGGCGACCCCUGGAG
Thrips palmi is the source of this 616-nucleotide long non-coding RNA. RefSeq lists it as uncharacterized. The record is from RefSeq and is a predicted model, not a curated record. NCBI's taxonomy places the organism in Eukaryota, Metazoa, Arthropoda, Insecta, Thysanoptera, Thripidae. The transcript has 3 exons.